UUAAAUAUGCGGAGGUACGCGUAAUGUUUUAUCAGACGAGAAUCCGCAUGAAAAGAUAUAUGCGGCAUCCCUUGUGGGUUCGUAUGCGGAAUAGCCUCUGAAAGUAAAAUAGCUUACAAUUAAACUUUCGCGGCAUGUAGUUGAGGUCCAUGCCGAGAAACAGAGACUGAGGUCGUGAGGAGGUAAUUGGUUGGUGAUGUGAUCUGUGUCCAUGCGUACGGCCAGCAAUGCGGACGUGCAUGGCCGCUCCGCCUCCAAUCUAAUCUUCCGGUAGGCGGCCGCCGGAUCUCCGGCGAACUCUUCUGUCCUCGCCGCUUGCCUCCUCCCUCGAGAGAGGAAGACCAUUGCUUGGGGUGGUGUUCAAUGAGCACGACGACGGAGCUGUGGCCAUAAGUGGCGGGGCUUGUAAAGUGCAUAGCGUCUGUUCGAUGAAAUGCUCGAAAGAGAUGUCGAUGGGUCUGGGGCCAAAUGCCACAACACACACGCUAUCGAGUCAAUGGUGGUGCUGCCAUGGCAUACCCCACGGACGACUGACGGUGCUCUAAUGCGGUCCAUGUUGCUGUAUCGUUUGUAACCGUGUUCAUGUGACUGGUUAUCGUGCGAUGGACGCAAUAUCCGUCGAGCCGGCAAGGGUUAGGCAAGAUAUAUGAUUCACACGAGAAUGUUAGCUGGAUAGCAUUGCUCUUGCCUCCUGUUCACCAUCCCUACCAGCAAACCUGCAUGACCAACUUUACCCAAACCCAAAUGACACCAUCAGCCAAGGGCCAGAAUGCAGAUCUUACCAGUGCAUAUCAUAUUGGGUGUUCUGAUGAAGUCUAAUGCAGCUUGCAUCGUUUAUGUCAACUUGCUAUCUGAACUCCACGGCUGACCACAUUUGUACUUCUGGAGAACAAUAUAUUUACUAACCUAAUGGUGCUAUUGCCGAGGGAAUAGUUGGAGAUUUCUUCUGUGGAAGAUUUAAAAGUGCAUCUUCUCGGUAAGAGUCUUAACUGAGAUAUGUGCAUUCGAAACUUUCUUCUGAUAGUAGUCUAAAACUCAUCAACAUUCAUCAAGUUAAUUAAAACUGGUUAACUGUAACUACUACUGUAAGUGUCAUUUUUGACGGUUGAAAUUGUGGUUAGUUGCUGUAUAUAUCAUCCUUCGAUGGUGAACAGAUGAUCGAGGAAACAUUUUAUAGUUCUAUGGUGAUUUAGUAAGUUGUGGUUCUGUAACAUUUGCCCCUUUGGGUUGAAGUAGGUUUAUCAUUAUCCAAAGGCUUACAAAUUGAUAGUGGAUCAUGCAGAGUUUUUUUUUUUAAUUUACAGACCCUGGUGGCCUUUGUGCAUGGGCUAAUAAUUUGUUUCAAGGAUACUCUGAAUUCACUUCAUUUGCUGAUGG
Phoenix dactylifera (date palm) is the source of this 1377-nucleotide long non-coding RNA. RefSeq lists it as uncharacterized. The record is from RefSeq and is a predicted model, not a curated record. NCBI's taxonomy places the organism in Eukaryota, Viridiplantae, Streptophyta, Magnoliopsida, Arecales, Arecaceae.